Molecule: ribosomal RNA, 2189 nt
Filed under: Listeria monocytogenes
Lineage: Bacteria; Bacillati; Bacillota; Bacilli; Caryophanales; Listeriaceae
Description: partial 23S ribosomal RNA
Rfam family: Bacterial large subunit ribosomal RNA
Source: RNAcentral
GGAUGAAGGUAAGGUAAUACUUACUGGAGGUCCGAACCCACGCACGUUGAAAAGUGCGGGGAUGAGGUGUGGGUAGCGGAGAAAUUCCAAUCGAACUUGGAGAUAGCUGGUUCUCUCCGAAAUAGCUUUAGGGCUAGCCUCGAGGUAAAGAGUCAUGGAGGUAGAGCACUGUUUGGACUAGGGGCCCUUCUCGGGUUACCGAAUUCAGAUAAACUCCGAAUGCCAUGUACUUAUACUCGGGAGUCAGACUGCGAGUGAUAAGAUCCGUAGUCGAAAGGGAAACAGCCCAGACCACCAGUUAAGGUCCCCAAAUAUAUGUUAAGUGGAAAAGGAUGUGGGGUUGCUUAGACAACCAGGAUGUUGGCUUAGAAGCAGCCACCAUUGAAAGAGUGCGUAAUAGCUCACUGGUCGAGUGACCCCGCGCCGAAAAUGUACCGGGGCUAAACAUAUUACCGAAACUGUGGAUGAACCUCUUUAGAGGUUCGUGGUAGGAGAGCGUUCUAAGGGCGGUGAAGUCAGACCGGAAGGACUGGUGGAGCGCUUAGAAGUGAGAAUGCCGGUAUGAGUAGCGAAAGAAGGGUGAGAAUCCCUUCCACCGAAUAUCUAAGGUUUCCUGAGGAAGGCUCGUCCGCUCAGGGUUAGUCGGGACCUAAGCCGAGGCCGAUAGGCGUAGGCGAUGGACAACAGGUAGAGAUUCCUGUACCAGUGCUAAUUGUUUAACCGAUGGGGUGACACAGAAGGAUAGGGAAUCGCACGAAUGGAAAUGUGCGUCCAAGCAGUGAGUGUGAGAAGUAGGCAAAUCCGCUUCUCGCGAAGCAUGAGCUGUGAUGGGGAAGGAAAUUAAGUACGGAAGUUCCUGAUUUCACGCUGUCAAGAAAAGCCUCUAGGAAGAGUAGUACUGCCCGUACCGCAAACCGACACAGGUAGAUGAGGAGAGAAUCCUAAGGUGAGCGAGAGAACUCUCGUUAAGGAACUCGGCAAAAUGACCCCGUAACUUCGGGAGAAGGGGUGCUCUAUUAGGGUGCAAGCCCGAGAGAGCCGCAGUGAAUAGGCCCAGGCGACUGUUUAGCAAAAACACAGGUCUCUGCAAAACCGUAAGGUGACGUAUAGGGGCUGACGCCUGCCCGGUGCUGGAAGGUUAAGAGGAGUGCUUAGCUUCGGCGAAGGUACGAAUUGAAGCCCCAGUAAACGGCGGCCGUAACUAUAACGGUCCUAAGGUAGCGAAAUUCCUUGUCGGGUAAGUUCCGACCCGCACGAAAGGCGCAACGAUCUGGGCACUGUCUCAACGAGAGACUCGGUGAAAUUAUAGUACCUGUGAAGAUGCAGGUUACCCGCGACAGGACGGAAAGACCCCGUGGAGCUUUACUGCAACCUGAUAUGGAAUGUUUGUACCGCUUGUACAGGAUAGGUAGGAGCCGAAGAGACGUGUGCGCUAGCAUACGAGGAGGCAAUGGUGGGAUACUACCCUGGCUGUAUGACCAUUCUAACCCGCCACGCUUAGCGCGUGGGGAGACAGUGUCAGGUGGGCAGUUUGACUGGGGCGGUCGCCUCCUAAAGAGUAACGGAGGCGCCCAAAGGUUCCCUCAGAAUGGAUGGAAAUCAUUCGCAGAGUGUAAAGGCACAAGGGAGCUUGACUGCGAGACUGACAAGUCGAGCAGGGACGAAAGUCGGGCUUAGUGAUCCGGUGGUUCCGCAUGGAAGGGCCAUCGCUCAACGGAUAAAAGCUACCCCGGGGAUAACAGGCUUAUCUCCCCCAAGAGUCCACAUCGACGGGGAGGUUUGGCACCUCGAUGUCGGCUCGUCGCAUCCUGGGGCUGUAGUCGGUCCCAAGGGUUGGGCUGUUCGCCCAUUAAAGCGGCACGCGAGCUGGGUUCAGAACGUCGUGAGACAGUUCGGUCCCUAUCCGUCGCGGGCGCAGGAAAUUUGAGAGGAGCUGUCCUUAGUACGAGAGGACCGGGAUGGACACACCGCUGGUGUACCAGUUGUUCCGCCAGGAGCAUCGCUGGGUAGCUAUGUGUGGCAGGGAUAAACGCUGAAAGCAUCUAAGCGUGAAGCCCCCCUCAAGAUGAGAUUUCCCAUUUCUUCGGAAAGUAAGAUCCCUGAAAGAUGAUCAGGUAGAUAGGUUUGGAGUGGAAGUGUAGCGAUACAUGGAGCGGACAAAUACUAAUCGAUCGAGGACUUAACCAAAA